UUAAACUGGAGAGUUUGAUCCUGGCUCAGAACGAACGCUGGCGGCGUGCUUAACACAUGCAAGUCGAACGGGAUCCAGAGCUUGCUCUGGUGAGAGUGGCGCACGGGUGAGUAACGCGUGGAUAACCUGCCCUGGUAUCUGGAAUAACAUCUCGAAAGGGG
Molecule: ribosomal RNA, 161 nt
Filed under: Geobacter sp.
Lineage: Bacteria; Pseudomonadati; Thermodesulfobacteriota; Desulfuromonadia; Geobacterales; Geobacteraceae
Description: partial 16S ribosomal RNA
Rfam family: Bacterial small subunit ribosomal RNA
Source: RNAcentral